Ziziphus jujuba (common jujube) is the source of this 1915-nucleotide RNA transcript. It is a transcript of the gene named putative E3 ubiquitin-protein ligase RING1a, with no coding region annotated. The record is from RefSeq and is a predicted model, not a curated record. NCBI's taxonomy places the organism in Eukaryota, Viridiplantae, Streptophyta, Magnoliopsida, Rosales, Rhamnaceae. The transcript has 10 exons.
UGAAAUCAAUAAAGGCAGCGACCAGCGAAAAUCUCCCAUCUUUUGUUGUUUUUUGUUUCCUUGUUUUGCUUUCCAUCUCGAAGAAGAAACUUACGCUUUGCUCUUCUGGAAGCUAAGGCCCAGAGACUCUCCUCUUCUUCACUACCUGCAAUCAAUCUCUCUCUUUCCCUCUCUGUUUUUUGAGUCUGAUAUCAAUGCCCGCACAUAAGCGUUCUUUGCACGACAAUCUCAGUGACGAUGAAGAAGAGCCUACGAACCACCACCACCGUCCCAAGCAAUCUCGUCCCCAGCCUCAACCCCAAGAUGAAGCUGAACUUCUUCUACGACUACAAGAGCAGAAAGGAAAAGUGGUUGUAGAGGGAAGUGAUGAUGAUGAAGAUGAAGAAGAAGACGAUGAGGAACAAGUUAAACAAGACGAAGAAGAAGAUGGAGCAGAGGAUUCUGUGGGUAGCCCAUCUUCUAGCUCUCAAGAAAGACCAGAAUUUGUCUCUGUAGAACUGCCAGACCUACGUAAAGAUGUACAAUGUCCAAUUUGUCUUGGGAUUAUUAAGAAAACUCGAACUGUAAUGGAAUGUCUACACAGGUUUUGCAGGGAAUGCAUUGACAAAUCAAUGCGCCUGGGGAACAAUGAAUGUCCUGCUUGCCGCACACAUUGUGCCAGCCGACGUUCUUUGAGAGAUGAUCCAAAUUACGAUGCCCUAAUUGCAGCUUUAUAUCCAGACAUUGAGAAGUAUGAGGAGGAGGAACUGGCAUUUCAUGAAGAGGAAACGACUCGAAAUAAGCAGAUCCAAGCAUCAAUUGCCCAGGUUUUUCAACGACAAUCUGAAGCUCUAAAUAAGAGACGUUCUUUAGGCAAGGAUUCAACAGACACAUUUACGUCAACAGUGCAACGCAAUCAUCGGAAUGGGAAUUCAAGAAGACGGAAUGCUCGGACCAUGGAAUUUCAAGCAUCUGAAGACAAUGAGGAUGACAAUGUUGGAAAUAACAUUGGAAAAGAUUCGUCUUCCACCGAUGAGCGUCGGCUAGAAAUAAGGCAAAAAAGGCGCAAGAGACGGGGAGGUAUUCAGUCUUCUUCAUCAGUGGCCAAUCUAGAUGGAGGAAACAUUGAAAAUGACUUAGAAGUAAGCCGAGAGAACCAUGGAAUUUCUCUUGGCACUACAUGGUCUGAAAUGCUUGCUUGGGGUGGUGGUGGUGCUCGUAGUAACACACGCCAUGGAAAUGCCAAUGGCUACAACAGUAAGAGUUCUCGAAGCACUCGCUUAUCCAAGUUGGUUGAUUACCUCCGGAGCUUAGAGGAACACAAUGAUGAGUUAGAUGUACAUCUGAUGCUUAUUUCUUUGGACAAAAAAAGUACACCAAGUUUGCAGCAGCCUCACCUAUGCUGUCGGCCAAGUUUGUCAGUUAAACACCUUUGUGAGUAUGUUGCUCGGCAGACACCUUUGCAAGCUGAAGAAGUUGAAUUGUUGGCACUUCGAGGGCGAUUGCCUCGAUGCCAGUCCAAUGAUGAAAAGUUGACUCUAAACCCUUCUACCUCAAUAAACGAUCGGGAUUUGGUGUCCUUGGUAAUUAAUCCAUGCAGUGAUGACCUGCAAAUUUUGGAAGCAGAAGAAACUCUGGCAGGGAUCAAAGCCAGUUGCCCUUCUAGUAGGGACCAUUUGGUAAGUGCAAAUUGGUAACUAGCUCUCUUCUUCAGCCCUGAGAUUUGCUCUUGGUACGUACUAUAAGCAAAAAGAUUCUAUUAUACAGGCAGAAGGCGAGUGGUUAGCAAAUUUUGGAUUUACAGUUAGUUAACUACAAAGUGGACGUCUUGUCUAAUUCAUUGUUGAUAGAAGAAACAAAAUAAUAUUAUAUAUUUAUGAAUACACAAAAUAGAGGGUUGUAAAUUUCGGAUAUUGGUGGAAGAAUUGUUUAAUUA